This 240-nucleotide unclassified non-coding RNA is filed under the name soil metagenome. Its description in RNAcentral is "partial contains 5.8S ribosomal RNA, internal transcribed spacer 2, and large subunit ribosomal RNA". The record is from RNAcentral.
AACACUGUUAACCUGCGGUACCUGCGGAGGGAUCAUUACAGAGUUGCAAAACUCCCUAAACCAUUGUGAACGUUACCUAAACCGUUGCUUCGGCGGGCGGCCCGGGUCCUUCCCGGCGCUCAUCGGCCCUCGCGGGCGCCCGCCGGAGGUAAACCAAACUAUUGCAUUGUAUGGCCUCUCUGAGUCUUCUGUACUGAAUAAGUCAAAACUUUCAACAACGGAUCUCAGAUCGGAAGAGCA